This 709-nucleotide long non-coding RNA is filed under the name Homo sapiens (human). RNAcentral describes it as "long independently transcribed non-coding RNA 2957, transcript variant 4 (LINC02957)". The record is from RNAcentral. Lineage: Eukaryota; Metazoa; Chordata; Mammalia; Primates; Hominidae.
CUCAUUCUGCCUUGCCUGCCACCAUGUAAGAUGUCCCUUGCUCUUCCACCAUGAUUGUGAGGCCUCUCCAGCCAUGUGAAACUGUGUGCCUAUGAGGUGAACUGCCAUGUCUACACAUCCCAGUAUGAGUGAGUGCAGGUGGUGUGCACGCGCCCUGCGAUGGGAGUGUGUCCUAUUCAGGGCUGGUUCCCGCCUUGCGCCCUAAGCUUUGGAGAUAGGCUUCGGCCACCCUCAACCCUGAACUGGAAUAAGCAGAAAACCACAUCUGGUCAGGAGCCCAGUGUGUCCCACUUGGACAAGAAUAGAAAUCUCUCUUCUGGAAUAUGACCUGAGAUAUCCUGAUGAAGCAGACCACACCUGCCCUCAGAGAUGACCUCAUGAGGAAGCUGAGCUGCAUAACAAACAUCUCUGCUGCUCAGCCACCUCCACUCUUUUUCAACAGACCUUGGAGAUAGCACAGCACCCACACCAAAAAAUCAGGAAGCUCUCUUAUCAGCAAUCUUUCUGUACCUAUGAAAUCAGACAUUCCAGCCAUGGCAGAACCUCCUGAGUGGGCCAGAGCCUCAGAGUCAGGAAAAGCUGGGGCCUAAUGAUGUUUCAAAUCAAAUCACUCUGUAGGGGAUUUUCCAUUUAACAUAUUGUGAUUGUGCAGUAACAUUAGUCUUUGCCAUUUAAUUUAUUAAAUUUUAAAAUCUUAUAAUAUCCUCAA